Molecule: ribosomal RNA, 495 nt
Filed under: uncultured bacterium
Lineage: Bacteria
Description: partial 16S ribosomal RNA
Rfam family: Bacterial small subunit ribosomal RNA
Source: RNAcentral
GACGAACGCUGGCGGCGUGCCUAAUACAUGCAAGUCGAACGCUGAAGGAGGAGCUUGCUUCUCUGGAUGAGUUGCGAACGGGUGAGUAACGCGUAGGUAACCUGCCUGGUAGCGGGGGAUAACUCUUGGAAACGCUAGCUAAUACCGCAUAAGAGUAGAUGUUGCAUGACAUUUGCUUAAAAGGUGCAAUUGCAUCACUACCAGAUGGACCUGCGUUGGAUUAUCUAGUUGGUGAGGUAACGGCUCCACAAGGCAACGAUACAUAGCCGACCUGGGAGGGGGGUCGGCCACACUGGGACUGAGACAAGGGCCAGACUUCUUCGGGAGGCAGCAGGAGGGGAUCCUCGGGAAAUGACGGAAGGCUGACCGGGGAACGGCGCGGGGGGGAAGAAGGUUCUCGGAUCGGAAAGAUCCUUUGUAAGAGAAGAAAGAGUGUGAGAGGGGAAAGUUCACACUGUGACGGUAUCUUACCAGAAAGCGACGGCUAACUACGUG